This 420-nucleotide long non-coding RNA is filed under the name Phoenix dactylifera (date palm). RNAcentral describes it as "long non-coding RNA (PDAC_LNC022154)". Lineage: Eukaryota; Viridiplantae; Streptophyta; Magnoliopsida; Arecales; Arecaceae. The record is from RNAcentral.
UGGACGCACUUCAGACAUCGGUGACUGGGCUUCAGGCAUCGGUGAUAGAGCUCUCCACUACACAUAGCAGAGCCACCACGUCUAUCAUCGCACAGCUUGGCCAUGUGACAGAUGCAGUCACCCUCCUCAUGGAGCAGAGCCGAUUGAGAGGAGGAGCCACAUCCUCGAGAGGAGGAGCCACAUCCUCCAGAGGAGGAGAUGCAUCCUCGAGAGGGGGAGCCUCAUCCUCGAGGAGGCCAUAGAUGUUUUUGUGUUUUGUCUUGUUUUACUUUACUUAUUGUAUUCUCAAAUGUAUUCACAUUCAUAUCAAUACAAUGAGUAGACAUUUUAUCUUCAAUUAUGUGCCAUUUGAUGUGCCAUUUGUUGAUUGUGCCAUUGAUUGUGUGUGAUUACCUCCUUUUUGGUAUGAUGACAAAAAGG